RNAcentral lists this ribosomal RNA (497 nucleotides) under uncultured bacterium. RNAcentral's name for it is "partial 16S ribosomal RNA". It matches the Rfam family "Bacterial small subunit ribosomal RNA", at positions 28 to 507 of the family's 1533-position model. The record is from RNAcentral.
GAUGAACGCUGGCGGCGUGCCUAAUACAUGCAAGUCGAGCGAACAGACGAGGAGCUUGCUCCUUUGACGUUAGCGGCGGACGGGUGAGUAACACGUGGAUAACCUACCUAUAAGACUGGGAUAACUUCGGGAAACCGGAGCUAAUACCGGAUAACAUGUUGAACCGCAUGGUUCAACAGUGAAAGACGGUCUUGCUGUCACUUAUAGAUGGAUCCGCGCCGCAUUAGCUAGUUGGUAAGGUAACGGCUUACCAAGGCAACGAUGCGUAGCCGACCUGAGAGGGUGAUCGGCCACACUGGAACUGAGACACGGUCCAGACUCCUACGGGAGGCAGCAGUAGGGAAUCUUCCGCAAUGGGCGCAAGCCUGACGGAGCAACGCCGCGUGAGUGAAGAAGGUCUUCGGAUCGUAAAACUCUGUUAUUAGGGAAGAACAAAUGUGUAAGUAACUAUGCACGUCUUGACGGUACCUAAUCAGAAAGCCACGGCUAACUACGUG